Molecule: ribosomal RNA, 229 nt
Filed under: uncultured bacterium
Lineage: Bacteria
Description: partial 16S ribosomal RNA
Rfam family: Bacterial small subunit ribosomal RNA
Source: RNAcentral
UGAGCAACCUGCCCUUAGCUCUGGGAUAACCCCGGGAAACCGGGCUAAUACCGGAUACGAGUCCGAGCGGCAUCACACGGACUGGAAAGUUUUUCGGCUAAGGAUGGGCUCGCGGCCUAUCAGCUUGUUGGUGGGGUAAUGGCCUACCAAGGCGACGACGGGUAGCCGGCCUGAGAGGGCGACCGGCCACACUGGGACUGGGACACGGCCCAGACUCCUACGGGAGGCA